This 293-nucleotide ribosomal RNA is filed under the name uncultured bacterium. RNAcentral's name for it is "partial 16S ribosomal RNA". It matches the Rfam family "Bacterial small subunit ribosomal RNA", at positions 790 to 1084 of the family's 1533-position model. The record is from RNAcentral.
GUAGUCCUAGCCGUAAACGUUGGGUGCUAGGUGUGGGCGGUCAUCAACCCCGUCCGUGCCGAAGCUAACGCAUUAAGCACCCCGCCUGGGGAGUACGGCCGCAAGGCUAAAACUCAAAGGAAUUGACGGGGCCCCGCACAAGCGGCGGAGCAUGUUGCUUAAUUCGAUGCGACGCGAAGAACCUUACCUGGGCUUGACAUGCAGGGUGAAACCCGUGAAAGCGGGCGCUCUUCGGAGCCUGCACAGGUGGUGCAUGGCUGUCGUCAGCUCGUGCCGUGAGGUGUUGCCUUAAG